This 219-nucleotide long non-coding RNA is filed under the name Phasianus colchicus (ring-necked pheasant). RNAcentral's name for it is "lncRNA (ENSPCLG00000018482.1)". The record is from RNAcentral. Lineage: Eukaryota; Metazoa; Chordata; Aves; Galliformes; Phasianidae.
AUUUUCUAUCUUCAUGUUAUAUAUUCUCUUCCAGAAUGAUGUAUGCUGAAUGAAGAACAUGUCCUGCAGUUCAUAUUUUUCAGAGGUUUUCAGAGUUAUUGCAGCAGUAGUUGCAGUGCUGGAUCAGAAAUCAUGCUCCAGAAACUCUGCAGUGGUGGUUUUUCACUUCAAGGUGAUAUUACUGAGUUCAUGGUAGGGAAAAAAAGGAAGAGCAGCUGA